This 635-nucleotide ribosomal RNA is filed under the name uncultured Marinobacter sp. RNAcentral describes it as "bacterial SSU rRNA". It matches the Rfam family "Bacterial small subunit ribosomal RNA", at positions 870 to 1504 of the family's 1533-position model. The record is from RNAcentral. Lineage: Bacteria; Pseudomonadati; Pseudomonadota; Gammaproteobacteria; Pseudomonadales; Marinobacteraceae.
CGCCUGGGGAGUACGGCCGCAAGGUUAAAACUCAAAUGAAUUGACGGGGGCCCGCACAAGCGGUGGAGCAUAUGGUUUAAUUCGACGCAACGCGAAGAACCUUACCUGGCCUUGACAUCCAGAGAGCUUUCCAGAGAUGGAUUGGUGCCUUCGGGAACUCUGAGACAGGUGCUGCAUGGCCGUCGUCAGCUCGUGUCGUGAGAUGUUGGGUUAAGUCCCGUAACGAGCGCAACCCCUAUCCCUGGUUGCUAGCAGGUAAUGCUGAGAACUCCAGGGAGACUGCCGGUGACAAACCGGAGGAAGGUGGGGAUGACGUCAGGUCAUCAUGGCCCUUACGGCCAGGGCUACACACGUGCUACAAUGGCGCGUACAGAGGGCUGCCAACUCGCGAGAGUGAGCCAAUCCCUUAAAACGCGUCGUAGUCCGGAUCGGAGUCUGCAACUCGACUCCGUGAAGUCGGAAUCGCUAGUAAUCGCGAAUCAGAAUGUCGCGGUGAAUACGUUCCCGGGCCUUGUACACACCGCCCGUCACACCAUGGGAGUGGAUUGCACCAGAAGUAGUUAGUCUAACCUUCGGGAGGACGAUUACCACGGUGUGGUUCAUGACUGGGGUGAAGUCGUAACAAGGUAACCGUA